GAUGAACGCUGACAGAAUGCUUAACACAUGCAAGUCGAUGGGGAAGUGGUGCUUGCACCAUGGCAACCAUGGCGGACGGGUGAGUAACGCGUAAGGGACUUACCUGCAGGACUGGGAUAACAGGGGGAAACUCCUGACAAGACCGGAUAAUGUCCUGGAGCUGCAUGGCUUUAUGAUGAAAGGAGACGCCUGCGGAGAGCCUUGCGUCCUAUUAGCUAGUUGGUGAGGUAAUGGCUCACCAAGGCGAAGAUAGGUAGCCGGCCUGAGAGGGUGGACGGCCACAAGGGGACUGAGAUACGGCCCUUACUCCUACGGGAGGCAGCAGUGGGGAAUAUUGGACAAUGGGGGCAACCCUGAUCCAGCAAUUCUGUGUGCACGAAGAAGGUUUUCGGAUUGUAAAGUGCUUUCAGCAGGGAAGAAGUAAGUGACGGUACCUGCAGAAGAAGCGACGGCUAAAUACGUG
Molecule: ribosomal RNA, 463 nt
Filed under: uncultured bacterium
Lineage: Bacteria
Description: partial 16S ribosomal RNA
Rfam family: Bacterial small subunit ribosomal RNA
Source: RNAcentral